GCCGCCACGACCCCGAGCAGUUUGGGGAGUGAAGGGUUUACUUGGCUUUUACUUCCGGGUCACAGGUUCACCUCUGAGGGAAGUAGGAGAGGAAGGGCAGGCCCAGUGCCAGGCGCCUUUCUUAGAACCCCAGACCCAUCUGUCUGGGAAUGUGGCUGGGCCCUCCCACCCGAUUAGCAAUCAAGAAGAAAACCCCGCCCACCCGCAGGCGGCUUCCUCUUCUCCGGUGUGCAGACUUGAAAGCCAAGAUAGGCUCUCAGAGGUAAUGUCUGGAUCUUCUGUUUAAAUUGCGCGCGGAUGCGGAUGCGGAUGCGUGCUAAGCUUGAGUGUCUGUGAAAGAGGGUUCACAGGCUUGGAGGCAGAGGCCAUUGUGGGAUGCUGGGUGUGUCCGCCUCUCACCUCGUGCCUUGAUGCCUCCAGGCAGGGUCCCUCACUGAACCAGAAGUUCUCUGCCCAGCCAGCUCCAGCAGUCACCUGGUUCAUCCUUCACAACCUCUGAGGUCUCGUGCAUCCACGCCAGGAUUCUUACCUGGGUGUUGGCGUCCAGAACCAGACCUUCUUGUACAGCAGGCACAGCAAGUGAUCUUAACCACUGAGUAGCUCCCCAGCCCCUGGACCCGGGUUGGAAUGGGCUAUCCCCAAUACCAGCUAGAAAGCUAGAAAGACUAUCUCUGAUUUUUUUUUUUUUUUUUUGGCAGCCCCAGAAACAAGGCAAGGUGAAGACCGUUUUAUUGUCCAGGUAAGAAAAUGUGAGCCCAGAGAGGGAAGACCAACCGCCUAAGGUCACACAGCAGGAUGAGAGUGUGAUUCUGGGGGGUGGUAUUCAGAUCUUAUAUGCCCUUCUCCCAAUCCUAAACUCUAACAUGGACAGCCAAGGCUCUCGGUGUGGACAGCAGCCUUCUGCAGGGGGUGAACUGGGGCCAUCGAGGCCAUUCAGCUUCUCCUGGGACCUGAGCAGAAAGAAGGAAGAGGAGAGACCUGGAAAAGCCAAGCUCCCAGCUGGAGGAAGAAUGAGUUGGCGUGUUCCGUGGACGGCUGCUAUUCUGCCCCAAGAAUAAAUGGCAGAUACACACAACGGUGUCACAGACGUGAUGCUGAAAAGAAGCUAGAGAGGAAGAAAGCCGUCCUGUGGAGCCAUUCAUGCAAUCUCAAAGC
This 1155-nucleotide long non-coding RNA is filed under the name Rattus norvegicus (Norway rat). RNAcentral's name for it is "long non-coding RNA NONRATT032824". The record is from RNAcentral. Lineage: Eukaryota; Metazoa; Chordata; Mammalia; Rodentia; Muridae.